This 951-nucleotide ribosomal RNA is filed under the name Williamsocoris sp. CW-2013. RNAcentral describes it as "bacterial SSU rRNA". It matches the Rfam family "Eukaryotic small subunit ribosomal RNA", at positions 433 to 1287 of the family's 1831-position model. Lineage: Eukaryota; Metazoa; Arthropoda; Insecta; Hemiptera; Schizopteridae. The record is from RNAcentral.
CACGCAAAUUACCCACUCCCAGCACGGGGAGGUAGUGACAAAAAAUAACGAUACGGGACUCAUCCGAGGCCCCGUAAUCGGAAUGAGUACACUUUAAAUCCUUUAACGAGGAUCCAUUGGAGGGCAAGUCUAGUGCCAGCAGCCGCGGUAAUUCUAGCUCCAAUAGCGUAUAUUAAAGUUGUUGCAGUUAAAAAGCUCGUAGUUGGUUCUGUGUUCCACGCUGUUGGUUCACCGCAUGUCUGUGCAACUGACAUGUCGUGGGACGUCCUGCCGGUGGUAGUUGGUCGCCAGUAAUUCGAUGUUCUGAGUGGACUUGAACCACUAGACUUCGUGCCACUGGUUGGAUUAACUUACCGAGCGCACUUACCCGCCCUGGUGCUCUUUACUGAGUGUCGAGGAGGGCCGGCACAUUUACUGUGCACAAAUUAGAGUGCUCAAGGCAGGCAAAAUUAUGCCUAAAUAGUGGUGCAUGGAAUAAUAGAAUAAGACUUUGGUUUUAUUUUGUUGGUUUUUUUAAACCCUAAGGUAAUGAUCAAUGUGGACGGUCGGGGGCAUUCGUAUUGCGACGUUAGAGGUGAAAUUCUUGGAUCGUCGCAAGACGCACAAGAGCGAAAGCAUUUGCCAAGUAUGUCUUAAUUGAUCAAGAACGAAAGUUAGAGGCUCGAAGGCGAUCAGAUACCGCCCUAGUUCUAACCAUAAACGAUGUCAGCCAGCGAUCCGUCUGGUUUUAAAUCAUGACUCGACGGGCAGCUUCCGGGAAACCAAAGCUUUUGGGUUCCGGGGGAAGUAUGGUUGCAAAGCUGAAACUUAAAGGAAUUGACGGAAGGGCACCACCAGACGUGGAGCUUGCGGCUUAACUUGACUCAACACGGGAAAUCUCACCAGGCCCAGACAUUGGAAGGAUUGACAGAUUGAUAGCUCUUUCUUAAUUCAGUGGGGAGUGGUGCAUGG